GGUUAAGCGACUAAGCGUACACGGUGGAUGCCCUGGCAGUCAGAGGCGAUGAAGGACGUGCUAAUCUGCGAUAAGCGUCGGUAAGGUGAUAUGAACCGUUAUAACCGGCGAUUUCCGAAUGGGGAAACCCAGUGUGAUUCGUCACACUAUCAUUAACUGAAUCCAUAGGUUAAUGAGGCGAACCGGGGGAACUGAAACAUCUAAGUACCCCGAGGAAAAGAAAUCAACCGAGAUUCCCCCAGUAGCGGCGAGCGAACGGGGAGCAGCCCAGAGCCUGAAUCAGUGUGUGUGUUAGUGGAAGCGUCUGGAAAGGCGCGCGAUACAGGGUGACAGCCCCGUACACAAAAAUGCACAUACUGUGAGCUCGAUGAGUAGGGCGGGACACGUGGUAUCCUGUCUGAAUAUGGGGGGACCAUCCUCCAAGGCUAAAUACUCCUGACUGACCGAUAGUGAACCAGUACCGUGAGGGAAAGGCGAAAAGAACCCCGGCGAGGGGAGUGAAAAAGAACCUGAAACCGUGUACGUACAAGCAGUGGGAGCACGCUUCGGCGUGUGACUGCGUACCUUUUGUAUAAUGGGUCAGCGACUUAUAUUCUGUAGCAAGGUUAACCGAAUAGGGGAGCCGAAGGGAAACCGAGUCUUAACUGGGCGUUAAGUUGCAGGGUAUAGACCCGAAACCCGGUGAUCUAGCCAUGGGCAGGUUGAAGGUUGGGUAACACUAACUGGAGGACCGAACCGACUAAUGUUGAAAAAUUAGCGGAUGACUUGUGGCUGGGGGUGAAAGGCCAAUCAAACCGGGAGAUAGCUGGUUCUCCCCGAAAGCUAUUUAGGUAGCGCCUCGUGAAUUCAUCUCCGGGGGUAGAGCACUGUUUCGGCAAGGGGGUCAUCCCGACUUACCAACCCGAUGCAAACUGCGAAUACCGGAGAAUGUUAUCACGGGAGACACACGGCGGGUGCUAACGUCCGUCGUGAAGAGGGAAACAACCCAGACCGCCAGCUAAGGUCCCAAAGUCAUGGUUAAGUGGGAAACGAUGUGGGAAGGCCCAGACAGCCAGGAUGUUGGCUUAGAAGCAGCCAUCAUUUAAAGAAAGCGUAAUAGCUCACUGGUCGAGUCGGCCUGCGCGGAAGAUGUAACGGGGCUAAACCAUGCACCGAAGCUGCGGCAGCGACACUAUGUGUUGUUGGGUAGGGGAGCGUUCUGUAAGCCUGCGAAGGUGUACUGUGAGGUAUGCUGGAGGUAUCAGAAGUGCGAAUGCUGACAUAAGUAACGAUAAAGCGGGUGAAAAGCCCGCUCGCCGGAAGACCAAGGGUUCCUGUCCAACGUUAAUCGGGGCAGGGUGAGUCGACCCCUAAGGCGAGGCCGAAAGGCGUAGUCGAUGGGAAACAGGUUAAUAUUCCUGUACUUGGUGUUACUGCGAAGGGGGGACGGAGAAGGCUAUGUUGGCCGGGCGACGGUUGUCCCGGUUUAAGCGUGUAGGCUGGUUUUCCAGGCAAAUCCGGAAAAUCAAGGCUGAGGCGUGAUGACGAGGCACUACGGUGCUGAAGCAACAAAUGCCCUGCUUCCAGGAAAAGCCUCUAAGCAUCAGGUAACAUCAAAUCGUACCCCAAACCGACACAGGUGGUCAGGUAGAGAAUACCAAGGCGCUUGAGAGAACUCGGGUGAAGGAACUAGGCAAAAUGGUGCCGUAACUUCGGGAGAAGGCACGCUGAUAUGUAGGUGAAGUCCCUCGCGGAUGGAGCUGAAAUCAGUCGAAGAUACCAGCUGGCUGCAACUGUUUAUUAAAAACACAGCACUGUGCAAACACGAAAGUGGACGUAUACGGUGUGACGCCUGCCCGGUGCCGGAAGGUUAAUUGAUGGGGUUAGCGGUAACGCGAAGCUCUUGAUCGAAGCCCCGGUAAACGGCGGCCGUAACUAUAACGGUCCUAAGGUAGCGAAAUUCCUUGUCGGGUAAGUUCCGACCUGCACGAAUGGCGUAAUGAUGGCCAGGCUGUCUCCACCCGAGACUCAGUGAAAUUGAACUCGCUGUGAAGAUGCAGUGUACCCGCGGCAAGACGGAAAGACCCCGUGAACCUUUACUAUAGCUUGACACUGAACAUUGAGCCUUGAUGUGUAGGAUAGGUGGGAGGCUUUGAAGUGUGGACGCCAGUCUGCAUGGAGCCGACCUUGAAAUACCACCCUUUAAUGUUUGAUGUUCUAACGUUGGCCCCUGAUCGGGGUUGCGGACAGUGUCUGGUGGGUAGUUUGACUGGGGCGGUCUCCUCCUAAAGAGUAACGGAGGAGCACGAAGGUUGGCUAAUCCUGGUCGGACAUCAGGAGGUUAGUGCAAUGGCAUAAGCCAGCUUGACUGCGAGCGUGACGGCGCGAGCAGGUGCGAAAGCAGGUCAUAGUGAUCCGGUGGUUCUGAAUGGAAGGGCCAUCGCUCAACGGAUAAAAGGUACUCCGGGGAUAACAGGCUGAUACCGCCCAAGAGUUCAUAUCGACGGCGGUGUUUGGCACCUCGAUGUCGGCUCAUCACAUCCUGGGGCUGAAGUAGGUCCCAAGGGUAUGGCUGUUCGCCAUUUAAAGUGGUACGCGAGCUGGGUUUAGAACGUCGUGAGACAGUUCGGUCCCUAUCUGCCGUGGGCGCUGGAGAACUGAGGGGGGCUGCUCCUAGUACGAGAGGACCGGAGUGGACGCAUCACUGGUGUUCGGGUUGUCAUGCCAAUGGCACUGCCCGGUAGCUAAAUGCGGAAGAGAUAAGUGCUGAAAGCAUCUAAGCACGAAACUUGCCCCGAGAUGAGUUCUCCCUGACUCCCUGAGAGUCCUGAAGGAACGUUGAAGACGACGACGUUGAUAGGCCGGGUGUGUAAGCGCAGCGAUGCGUUGAGCUAACCGGUACUAAUGAACCGUGAGGCUUAACCUU
RNAcentral lists this ribosomal RNA (2905 nucleotides) under Escherichia coli. Its description in RNAcentral is "23S ribosomal RNA". It matches the Rfam family "Bacterial large subunit ribosomal RNA". The record is from RNAcentral. Lineage: Bacteria; Pseudomonadati; Pseudomonadota; Gammaproteobacteria; Enterobacterales; Enterobacteriaceae.